GACGAACGCUGGCGGCGUGCUUAACACAUGCAAGUCGAGCGGUAAGGCCCUUCGGGGUACACGAGCGGCGAACGGGUGAGUAACACGUGGGUGACCUGCCUUUAGCUCUGGGAUAAGCCUGGGAAACUGGGUCUAAUACCGGAUAUGACCUCAUGACGCAUGUUGUGGGGUGGAAAGCCUUGUGCGGCUAGAGAUGGGCCCGCGGCCUAUCAGCUUGUUGGUGGGGUGANGGCCUACCAAGGCGACGACGGGUAGCCGGCCUGAGAGGGCGACCGGCCACACUGGGACUGAGACACGGCCCAGACUCCUACGGGAGGCAGCAGUGGGGAAUCUUGCGCAAUGGGCGAAAGCCUGACGCAGCGACGCCGCGUGAGGGAUGACGGCC
Molecule: ribosomal RNA, 385 nt
Filed under: uncultured bacterium
Lineage: Bacteria
Description: bacterial SSU rRNA
Rfam family: Bacterial small subunit ribosomal RNA
Source: RNAcentral